GUGAAAGAACUAUAAUUGAAGCAUUGAACAUGGCCACAUUGAAUUUACUGAAUAUUUAUGUUCCAAUUGCAGCGAGCAGAUCCGAUAAAAAAAGAAGCAUCUCAGAUUGACAUCCAAGAAGUUCAGACAUUUCAGGUUCAUAUAUAUUUUUAUAUAUUUGGUUUGAUACUCCAUUGUAUCCCAUAUAUAGCUGAAUUCCAGAGAAGGCUGGGUAAACCUUUCUGGCAUCUCAGCCGUCUU
This is a long non-coding RNA of Lolium rigidum, 240 nucleotides long. RefSeq lists it as uncharacterized. The transcript has 3 exons. NCBI's taxonomy places the organism in Eukaryota, Viridiplantae, Streptophyta, Magnoliopsida, Poales, Poaceae. The record is from RefSeq and is a predicted model, not a curated record.